Molecule: ribosomal RNA, 283 nt
Filed under: uncultured bacterium
Lineage: Bacteria
Description: partial 16S ribosomal RNA
Rfam family: Bacterial small subunit ribosomal RNA
Source: RNAcentral
GACGAACGCUGGCGGCGCGCUUAACACAUGCAAGUCGAGCGGUAAGGCCCUUUCGGGGGUACACGAGCGGCGAACGGGUGAGUAACACGUGGGUGACCUGCCCUCAGCUCUGGGAUAAGCCUGGGAAACCGGGUCUAAUACCGGAUAUGACUCCAUGACGCAUGUUGUGGGGUGGAAAGCCUUGUGCGGCUGAGGAUGGGCCCGCGGCCUAUCAGCUUGUUGGUGGGGUGAUGGCCUACCAAGGCGACGACGGGUAGCCGGCCUGAGAGGGCGACCGGCCACA